GGCACCUCUCCGUGUUGCGGCGCUGCGUGGCAGUGCGCGCCGAUCCGCCGCUGGCUGGCUGGCUGCGCAACACACGCGUGGCUUUAGUCGUGAAUGGCCUCCACUGCUUGGCACAUACGCUGGGCGAGAAGCAGCCGUGAGUCCCGGACGACGCGACUUUUCGCCGCGUCCCACACCCAGGAGGAGGAGGAGGCGGACGGGGGGCUGAAUGCGGUGGCUUUGAUCGGUGCAGUUAUUCCCUGCUGUCAGUCGGCUUGGCCGCUUCGGAGCGCUCGGACACGGACGGAGGAGCCGCACCGCACGGAGCGCUGCAGCAGCAGCAGCAACACGGAGGAGCCGUGGAUGUGAUGCCAGGGCUGGACAGAAAAACGCAGCUUCGAGUCUAGAGAGGAGAGAACCGUGGAGCGUUUCUUCUGGAGAGGGACUUCGGUUCAGCGUUGGUGAAAUGUAGCGCCUCGCUGCUUCCAAAGCUGGAUUUGUUGUCUACUCAAGGUUUCUUUGUGUAGUCGGACAUCCGCCGCCGCAGUCAUGUUUAGGAACAGCUUGAAGAUGCUGCUGACGGGAGGCAAGGCCAACCGCAAGAGUCGCAACAGCGGUGAGUGCGAUGGUCUCUUACGAUGGCCGCCACGAUGGCGCUUCUGCCUGUCAGCUACAGGAGGCGUCAGCGAGGUCUCUCAUUUUAUUUUAGAUAUAAAUAAAACUCUCCAAGGUUUUUCAGUUCAGGUUUCUGAAAAAGCAGUUGUUA
Long non-coding RNA from Fundulus heteroclitus (mummichog), 745 nucleotides. RefSeq lists it as uncharacterized. Lineage: Eukaryota; Metazoa; Chordata; Actinopteri; Cyprinodontiformes; Fundulidae. The record is from RefSeq and is a predicted model, not a curated record. The transcript has 3 exons.